UACGUAGGGUGCGAGCGUUGUCCGGAAUUAUUGGGCGUAAAGAGCUCGUAGGCGGUGUGUCACGUCGGCCGUGAAAACCUGCAGCUUAACUGUGGGCGUGCGGUCGAUACGGGCAUCACUGGAGUUCGGCAGGGGAGACUGGAAUUCCUGGUGUAGCGGUGAAAUGCGCAGAUGUCAGGAGGAACACCGGUGGCGAAGGCGGUUCUCUGGGCCUUACCUGACGCUGAGGAGCGAAAGCGUGGGGAGCGAACAGG
This 254-nucleotide ribosomal RNA is filed under the name uncultured bacterium. Its description in RNAcentral is "partial 16S ribosomal RNA". It matches the Rfam family "Bacterial small subunit ribosomal RNA", at positions 524 to 776 of the family's 1533-position model. The record is from RNAcentral.